This 5102-nucleotide long non-coding RNA is filed under the name Equus caballus (horse). RNAcentral describes it as "lncRNA (ENSECAG00000053252.1)". Lineage: Eukaryota; Metazoa; Chordata; Mammalia; Perissodactyla; Equidae. The record is from RNAcentral.
GUCCACCCUGUGAGGACACAGGAAGAGGCGUCCUCAGGACCCCACCACGGUGGCACCCCCACUCGGACCUCCAGCCUCUGCUGUCUCAGCCACCCCCUCUGUGGCGUCCUGUCACAGCAGCCUAAGAUGACUGAGACAGUGGCCUCGCAGGGCUACGCACCCAGAGUCCAUGAUAAAUACACAAAAUACACAGUGUGUCUGCGGGUGAUGCGUGCAGAAGAGAAGAGCAAAGCCGAGAAGGAGAGAAGAGUGUGUCUGUGUGCACACAUGCGCUCUUGAGGUAGGAUCUGCGUCUCCUUUGUCUUCACUCCCCUCGGCUCCGCAAGCGCCUGGUUCGGGGCUGGCCCACACAAACCCGUGAUACCUGGUAAGUCACCUCACCAGCUCUCUGUCAGCCUAGAGCUGGAAGGGGCUGUGGAGAUGGCUCCUGGCAGUGAGGAACCUAUGAGGGCGAGACCAACACAGUGAGCAUCUGUGGAGCACCAGCUGCACCCCAGGCAUUGCGCCUGGGGCCUUAGAGACGCCUCACUUAAUCCUCCCAGGAGCCUGGGAAACCUCGUCACGCCCACACGACAGAAGAGGAACCGACGUCUGGUGGAAAUAGAGUAUUGUGACUGGGGUCACAGAGAGCAGGCUGCCUGCUCCAGCAUCCACCGGCUCCCAAGCCUGGAGGUGGCUCACCCAAGGGCACGUGGAUGGGCAGAGGGGCCCAGAGAUGGCCCAUUCGUUCAUUCGUUCAUUCAUUCCCCUAGACUAGGUGGCAGGUGCUGCACCCUGAGCCCAGAGGAGUGGCUAACCCAGAGGAAGGAGCGCAGUCUGAUCCCAGCUUCGAUUCUGCAUCUGUGAAGCGAAGGAUCAAACACCUCCCUGGGAAGCUGCUGUGGGAGCGGGACAGCGUGGGUCUGACCGCUUCCACGGCAUACCCGCAUGCUGCCUUCCUGGCCUGGCCUUUCCCUCCAGCCUGGGUGAAAGCCGUUCACCACCCCCUCCUGCCUUCUGAUAUCUUCAGGAGAGCCUUGGUGCACAGGGCCACGGCCCUCCCCACCCGACCCUGCAGGCUGGCGGGGGGCAGCACUGCUGUGGGAGCCUGGGCCGCCUGCUACUCGGGAAGAGGAGGCAGGCGGCCGCAGAAGCAAGGACAGACACAAGAAGCGGGGCCCCUGGGAGAGGCAAAGUUGAGAAGGCCCCAGGAUGGGGAACCAGGGCCCAGAGAGGCAUGCUCUGGCCCCGUCACCUACACACCCCAGACUCACCCUGGCAGCUGGGCCUCUGCUCAGGGCCAGACACAAGGUUAUACCUGAAAGGGCUUGGCAAAGAAAUGUGCUAUGUGGGACACCCUCCCUGUCCUGGAGGCCUGCUAUUUUGAGAUAGCCCAGUGUGGACAGCCACACCCAGUGUGGACGCAUUGUUGGGUGGGGUGCAUAGACGGCAGAGCCUGAGGUCUGAGUCGUGCAUCUCUGUGAAUGUUUGCGUUGUUCAUUUUCAUUCCCCAGGGCCUGCCAAGCCUGGCACGCAGCAGUGCUCGACAAACGUGUGCUGAGUGAAUGAACAAAUGGACGGAGGACUCUACUGCCGUGUGGUGGUGGGGUUACAGAUGAUUUUUUUUCUUUUUGCUUAUUUUUAAAUUUUUUUGCAAUAAUUAUAUAGAAUUUCUAAUAUGAGAAAGAAACCACAAUUAUUUCAAAACCUUGUCACUGCACAGCUGCUGUGACCACAAGGAAAUGAAGGGGCUUUUGACUGAAAGCAGCCCCACGACUCCCUUAGGGUCACAAUGAUUAAUGUGACAUCUACAUGUGGCCAAGAUGUGGACAGGGCCCGGAAAGAACCCAGAAGUCGGGAGCUGGGGGCGGGGCUUUUCUUCUUUCUCUCAUUUCCUCUCUGGUUAUCAUGCUGCUGGGGCAAUCAAAUUCAGGAAAAAAGACAGGGCAGGGGUGGGGCUGGCCACGGAGCUGUUGAGCUGUGGGGGUGCCAGGGGCAGGGGUCCAGAGCAGCUCGCCUCCCCUCUGGGAGCCUCAGUCUUCCCAUCUGUAAAAUGGGGUGUUGGCACAGACCUCUGGCCAUCAUGAGAAAUGACUGCUGCCAUCCCCAGGCUUGGCACCCACUGUGUUUGGCUGGCCUCAUUUCCUUCCCUUUUUUCUUGCCCUGCUGCUCUCGGGGUUAAGCAAGACUUCGCUGAGGUUGUUUACUGUCUGUAGGUUCACCCUGUGGCAGCUGGUACCCAGAGGGCCAGUUCCAGCAUCGGUGGAGCCGGCCUGAGGAGGAGGAGAGGAGUCUCAGGGUAGGUGAGGGUCCUUGGCCAAGAGCAGAGCUUGAUCCCUCAGCCCGGGGCCGGGUCUCAGCUCUGCCACUUAGCAGUGGGCACCACACCCCUCUUUAGAGUGGGCGCAGCAGGGCCACCUCUCAGGGCUUGUGGCAGGGAUCGCUCUUCUGAUGAGUGGCUGUGCCCAGCCCCUCCCUCCUGUGUGGGACCUACAGCUCUGCCUCCAGCCUCUGCCUCUGCUGCCCUGCCCUCUCGUCCCCAUCCCCUUUCUGGCAGGCCCUGAGUGAGCCCUGCGUGAAGCUGGGCCUCUGCUCUUUUCUCUCAAAGCCCAAAAUCAAAAAUCUUCAAUCAUGGUAGUGCCUGUUUUACUUCUCAGCAAUUUGGGAGUGAAGCGUAAAUACGAGGAAGAACUUUGGCGAAUUACUCUUCUAUACGUUAAUCUUCUACUCUGGGCCUGCUCUGUGCCCGACAUCUUACAAAUACGAUCUUGUUAUAACAUUGUCACUCAUCUCACAGAAGAGACUAAGUUUACCACAUGGUCACCAUAGUGUCUGGCCCUUACUAGAUUUCAAAAAGUAUUUAUUGGAUGGAUGGGUGGAUGAACAGGUGGAGUAUGGGUUGCUGGAUGAGUGGGUGGAUGAAUGAUAGCUAGAUGGAUGAUGGAUAGAUGGAAAGAAAGGCGGAUGGAUGGAUGAUGGAUGGGUGAUGGAGAGAUGAGCAGGUAGAGGGAUGGGUGGGUGGAUGGAUGGAUGGGUGGAUGGAUGGAUGACGGAUGGUGGGUAGAUGGAUGGAUAAAUGAGUGGGUGAAUGGGUGGAUAGAUAGAUGAGAGAAUGGAUGGAUGGAUGAAAGGACAGGAGGAUGGAAGGACGAUGCAUGGUGGAUAGAUGGAUGAUUGGAUGAGUGGGUAGAUGUAUAAUGGAUGGAUGGGGAUGGGUGAAUUGAUGGAUGGAGGGGUAGAUGAGUGGAUGGGUGAGCUUAAGUCUCAUACUCAGAGGAUGUCAACGGCAGAGCUGGCAAGGGUCCGAGUUAAAGUCCAGACCCUUCCUAUGUCUCCCCUGGGGUCUGUGCCUUCCUUCACUCACACCCAACAUCUCUGCAUCCCCUGAAUCUACAUGUCAGCAACUCCCACACUUAUAUCCCCAUCCUGAGCCUCCCCUGAGCCCCAGCACCUCUCUCGGGGGAAGUUCACCUUCUCCUUCCAGACAUUUCAGGGGCAGGGCCAGUUUUACUGACAUGCAACACGUGCAGUGGCACACGCCCGCACACAGAGGAGCCCCCAGGUGGGCCAGCAGUGUUAGGCCACUAUCAGCCUUCUGAAGGAGGAUCAUCUGCUUCUGGACCGCAGUUGACUAUGGGUAAGUAAAACCAUGAAGAGGGAAACCUCGGCUAAGCGGGGACCACUGUGCAAAUGACGAAGCACGAAUAGUGUAAUUCGGUGAGUCCGCAUGCAGGCUAGGGACUUUGCAUUUAAAACUGGCAUCGCACAAAAUAUACGUGAACAUCAAAAUUCAAAAUUUGUUUGUUUUGUUUUAUUAACGUUUAUUCAAAAUAUGAAUAAUAUAAAUUUUUAAUUUUUCUUUACUUAGAAUGACAUUAAAUAGCAAAUUAAAAACACUACAACAAGUCGAGAGGAAUGAAAGGGAUGGGAGGAGGCCCUGGGGCCCCGGACCCUGCGUUCAGGCACAGGCGUUGUGGCAGAAGGAUGCGGCCCAUCUCGGCCAUCACAUUAUCUCCUUGGCGCAGACCAGGGCAGGCGGCUCGGGCAUCGAUUUGCGCGUUCCUCCAUCCACUCACUCAGUAGCGUGUGCUGCCCACCAUCAGCCCUGGGACAGGACUCGGAGGAGGGCAAGGUGGAGAUGAAGGCCGGGAGGGCUCUGCAGGAGAGACAACAGCGUGGACUGAGCGCAGCAUCGCAAGAGCCUCACGUCACUAUUGCGGCCGGUGCAAGGAAUUUAUUCUAAGCAUGUCCAUACACACGUGUGUGAGAUGGCGGAGUUGAGGUCUAUGCAGGCUGAUCCACUGAGCAAAUAAACGAGAUCAGAUCAACAGAAAGGGCAGAACGGCAUGCUGGGUGGUCCUCAGAAGUGAGCAACGGGUAGGUACUGCCUCACGGCCCUGGGAGGUGAGCUAUGUUCCCGUCCAGGCAAGGGAGCAGGGCACUGGGUCUCAGUCUUAGGCUAUGGGCUGCUCCGGGAGAUGUGAAUUCGCAGCCACUUCUGAUUCUGUGUGUGUAGACAAAGCAGACUCUGGUAGCCCAAGGUCAGUUCUCCAAAUAAGAGCUUCCGUUGCCGGCCCUUGGAGAGAAAACACCCAAAGCCAGGAGAGGGUUGCGUGCACACACUCACAAAAUCCAAGGGGCCCCGGGCAGAGCACCAAUGCUGUCUGAUACAAUCAUUGGCGAAAAGAGCAAGGGAAGAAUGGCCUGCACAGAUGUACAACCGGGGCCAAAUAAAGGUUGGAGAACACAAUAGUGUUUGCUUGUCGCUGGAGCGCACAGCGAAUCUGGCUUUGGCGGUUGCCUCUGGGGAGGCCCCAGGAAGCGGGGGUGGGGGUGGGACAGGCCAAGUGACUUACUUUUGCUUACCAUCCUUCUGUACUUUUAAAAAAAUUUUCCACUGUACAAGGUUUACCCACUCAAAAAAAUAAAAUUACUGUAAAAACUAAUCUUGCCACCUUUGUGGGUGAGAAAACUUAACACUGUUAAGAUGGCAACACUCUGCGAGUUGAUCUGCAGAAUCUACGCAAUUUCUAUCAAAAUCCCAGCUCCCUUCUUCGCAGAAAUUGACAAGCUGAUCCUAAAAUUUACAUGGAAAUUGAAGGGAUCCAGAAUAGCGAAAACAA